CAAGACCUGCACUUUUGGAGCGGCCGAUGUCUGAUUAGCUAGUUGGUGGGGUAAUGGCCUACCAAAGCUUCGAUCAGUAGCUGGUCUGAGAGGACGGCCAGCCACACUGGGACUGAGACACGGCCCAGACUCCUACGGGAGGCAGCAGUGGGGAAUUUUGGACAAUGGGCGCAAGCCUGAUCCAGCCAUGCCGCGUGAGUGAAGAAGGCCUUCGGGUUGUAAAGCUCUUUCAGCCGGGAAGAAAAGGUUGCGACUAAUAAUCGCAAUUCAUGACGGUACCGAAAGAAGAAGCACCGGCUAACUACGUGCCAGCAGCCGCGGUAAUACGUAGGGUGCGAGCGUUAAUCGGAAUUACUAGGCGUAAAGGGUGCGCAGGCGGUUUUGUAAGUCAGAUGUGAAAUCCCCGGGCUUAACCUGGGAACU
Molecule: ribosomal RNA, 423 nt
Filed under: uncultured bacterium
Lineage: Bacteria
Description: bacterial SSU rRNA
Rfam family: Bacterial small subunit ribosomal RNA
Source: RNAcentral